This 471-nucleotide ribosomal RNA is filed under the name uncultured bacterium. RNAcentral describes it as "bacterial SSU rRNA". It matches the Rfam family "Bacterial small subunit ribosomal RNA", at positions 33 to 507 of the family's 1533-position model. The record is from RNAcentral.
UACGAGGACGACGCUGGCGGCGCGCCUAACACAUGCAAGUCGAACGAGCGAGAGAGAGCUUGCUUUCCCGAGCGAGUGGCGAACGGGUGAGUAACGCGUGAGGAACCUGCCUCAAAGAGGGGGACAACAGUUGGAAACGACUGCUAAUACCGCAUAAGCCCACGGGUCGGCAUCGACCAGAGGGAAAAGGAGCAAUCCGCUUUGAGAUGGCCUCGCGUCCGAUUAGCUAGUUGGUGAAGUAAUGGCCCACCAAGGCGACGAUCGGUAGCCGGACUGAGAGGUUGAACGGCCACAUUGGGACUGAGACACGGCCCAGACUCCUACGGGAGGCAGCAGUGGGGAAUAUUGCACAAUGGGGGAAACCCUGAUGCAGCGACGCCGCGUGGAGGAAGAAGGUCUUCGGAUUGUAAACUCCUGUUGUUGGGGAAGAUAAUGACGGUACCCAACAAGGAAGUGACGGCUAACUACGUG